GUGAAUCAUCGAAUUUUUGAACGCAAAUUGCACUCUCUGGCAUUCUGGCGAGUAUGCCUGUUUGAGGGUCAGUUUAAAUAAAAAUCUAGGUGUUGCUUUUUUGUGACCCAUCGGACUUGGGUUAUAAUUGAUUUUUUAAAGGUUUAAGUGACCUAAAAUUGAUACAUUGUGCACCUCAGACGUACAUAAGAAUAUUUUUUUAUCCGUCAGGAGUUACUAACU
RNAcentral lists this unclassified non-coding RNA (222 nucleotides) under Glomeraceae sp. RNAcentral describes it as "partial contains 5.8S ribosomal RNA and internal transcribed spacer 2". The stretch from base 1 to 71 matches the Rfam family "5.8S ribosomal RNA", at positions 84 to 154 of the family's 154-position model. Lineage: Eukaryota; Fungi; Glomeromycota; Glomeromycetes; Glomerales; Glomeraceae. The record is from RNAcentral.